This 71-nucleotide transfer RNA is filed under the name Marmota monax (woodchuck). Its description in RNAcentral is "tRNA.Ala". The record is from RNAcentral. Lineage: Eukaryota; Metazoa; Chordata; Mammalia; Rodentia; Sciuridae.
GGGGUCGUGACUCAGUGGCAGAGCACUCACCUGGCAUGUGUGAGGCACUGGGUUCAAUCCUCAGUACCACA